AUCGCUUCUCGGCCUUUUGGCUAAGAUCAAGUGUAGUAUCUGUUCUUAUCAGCCGCUUCUCGGCCUUUUGGCUAAGAGACAGUGAUCGAUUCUCGGUUGGGCGGAGCCUUCAGUCUUGUUUGUGGCUUUAGGCGUUUCUAACUGGGAAUACAUUUCGGACGGAGCAAUUUCGUUUGGAAAAAACAAAA
Small nuclear RNA from Myxocyprinus asiaticus (Chinese sucker), 188 nucleotides. RefSeq annotates it as U2 spliceosomal RNA. The transcript has a single exon. The record is from RefSeq and is a predicted model, not a curated record. NCBI's taxonomy places the organism in Eukaryota, Metazoa, Chordata, Actinopteri, Cypriniformes, Catostomidae.